GCCGGGCGUGGUGGCUCAUGCCUGUAAUCCCAGCACUUUGGGAGGCUGAGGCAGGUGGAUCACCUGAGGUCAGGAGUUCAAGACCAGCCUGACCAAUACAGUGAAAUCCUGUCUCUA
Molecule: non-coding RNA, 117 nt
Filed under: Pan troglodytes (chimpanzee)
Lineage: Eukaryota; Metazoa; Chordata; Mammalia; Primates; Hominidae
Source: Rfam by way of RNAcentral